This is a long non-coding RNA of Passer domesticus (house sparrow), 894 nucleotides long. RefSeq lists it as uncharacterized. The transcript is spliced from 3 exons. NCBI's taxonomy places the organism in Eukaryota, Metazoa, Chordata, Aves, Passeriformes, Passeridae. The record is from RefSeq and is a predicted model, not a curated record.
GGCUGCGCCAGCCCAGCCACGCUGGCUCGGAUAGCAGCAGGAUCCUGCUGCCGGGGCAGGCAGAGCGGGGGGCCUGCGAAAACUUCACUGGAAAAGGGGAAGCAGGAGAAAGUAAGCAGCAACCAGUGUGUGGUGGGGAGUCAGUUUUCCCCUUGGAGAUGAGUGUGCUUUCAGAGUCCUGGCUCUGCUGCCAUGAACCUUCUCCUGGUGAGGUGUGAAGCAGACAUUCCUCUGCCAACCUGAAUGAAAAGUGAUGCAGAAGCCCAGGUUUCCUUCCACAGGGUCAGAAGAGCAAGGAGGGCUGCACGGACCAGCUGAUGCCUGUGUUGGCCAGACUCUCCCCAUCUGGCAGAAGUGACUCACUGGUGGCAUGACCCAGGCGCUGUGAGGCUUGUUGAGCUCAGGGGGGGAGUUUGACUUCAGAUCCUCUAUUUCCUUGAAGAUUUGCCUUUAGUCCUUGCCUUACCCCAGCCCUCAUCUGCAUUUGCUAUCCAGCCUGGGCUGAAGUGGUCUGCCCCAGAUGCCUUCCCUUGUUUUGGGGGGUGUUUUGGGUGUUGCCAUUGCAGAGCUGAAGCUGCUGCCUCCACCUGGGGCUCAUUACAUGCUGCUUCCUCUCCAGCUGCCAGGGGCUGGACACAGAGCAGGGAAAUCGCACGCAAGGCGCUUGUAAAACCCUCAGCCCUGUCUGCCAUUGGAGUAAGAGCUGGCUGAGCCUCCCUCCCUGCAGGACGGGCUUCCUGCCCUAGGAAAUCCCCUGCUGUAAGGCAGCCCAGCAGAUCCACCUUGGGGAUCUCAAACUGUGGCCAGUCUGCACUGGCUGGGUACAGAAUGAGAGCUAUGGGUUUUCAGAAAACCCUAAUAAAACUUUUGAUUAUGCAUAAGAAAAAGAAAUAA